UGGGGAAUAUUGGACAAUGGGCGAAAGCCUGAUCCAGCCAUGCCGCGUGAGUGAUGAAGGCCCUAGGGUUGUAAAGCUCUUUCAACGGUGAAGAUAAUGACGGUAACCGUAGAAGAAGCCCCGGCUAACUUCGUGCCAGCAGCCGCGGUAAUACGAAGGGGGCUAGCGUUGUUCGGAAUUACUGGGCGUAAAGCGCACGUAGGCGGACAUUUAAGUCAGGGGUGAAAUCCCGGGGCUUAACCCCGGAACUGCCUUUGAUACUGGGUGUCUAGAGUCCGGAAGAGGUGAGUGGAAUUCCGAGUGUAGAGGUGAAAUUCGUAGAUAUUCGGAGGAACACCAGUGGCGAAGGCGGCUCACUGGUCCGGUACUGACGCUGAGGUGCGAAAGCGUGGGGAGCAAACA
This 402-nucleotide ribosomal RNA is filed under the name uncultured bacterium. Its description in RNAcentral is "bacterial SSU rRNA". It matches the Rfam family "Bacterial small subunit ribosomal RNA", at positions 355 to 774 of the family's 1533-position model. The record is from RNAcentral.